This 468-nucleotide ribosomal RNA is filed under the name uncultured bacterium. RNAcentral's name for it is "partial 16S ribosomal RNA". It matches the Rfam family "Bacterial small subunit ribosomal RNA", at positions 28 to 507 of the family's 1533-position model. The record is from RNAcentral.
GACGAACGCUGGCGGCGUGCUUAACACAUGCAAGUCGAACGGAAAGGCCCUGCUUUUGUGGGGUGCUCGAGUGGCGAACGGGUGAGUAACACGUGAGUAACCUGCCCUUGACUUUGGGAUAACUUCAGGAAACUGGGGCUAAUACCGGAUAGGAGCUCCUGCUGCAUGGUGGGGGUUGGAAAGUUUCGGCGGUUGGGGAUGGACUCGCGGCUUAUCAGCUUGUUGGUGGGGUAGUGGCUUACCAAGGCUUUGACGGGUAGCCGGCCUGAGAGGGUGACCGGCCACAUUAGGCCUGGGAUACGGCCCAGACUCCUACGGGAGGCAGCAGUGGGGAAUAUUGCACAAUGAGCGGAAGCCUGAUGCAGCAACGCCGAGUGCGGGAUGACGGCCUGCGGGUUGUAAACCGCUUUCGCCUGUGACGAAGCGUGAGUGACGGUAAUGGGUAAAGAAGCACCGGCUAACUACGUG